Molecule: long non-coding RNA, 6777 nt
Organism: Passer domesticus (house sparrow)
Lineage: Eukaryota; Metazoa; Chordata; Aves; Passeriformes; Passeridae
Exons: 8
Source: RefSeq, a predicted model, not a curated record
GUCUGUGGGUACUGGCGAGCCACGGCCUGCUGAGGCUGCUUUGUGCCAACCACCACAUGCACAGGCAGGAGAGGCAGCAAGCUCCACCUUGGCUGAGAAGAGCUGAAGUUCCAGCCCAUCACUUGGACAUGCCUACAGGAAUCGCGUUUACAGCUGAUUCAGAUGCCUUCUAUGGUGCUACAACCCAACUGAGCUGCUGAGAAGAAAAUAUAUUUUUAUCACUCAUAAGCACAUCUACUGCCUCAUCCCAUUCCAGUGACAUGGGCACAAGAAAACAAGGAGAUGCAGUUUCAGAAGUGCUACCCUGGCCUGACACAGAGGUGAUGUGAUGGAAAUAUGGCAGAGCACUGUGGAAAAAAUGAAGAGGAUGACACCAGAGAAUAAUUGACACAACACCCCUCAGGAGAUUUGAGAUGGUUUGAUCUUCAUCUGGAGACUUGUCAAAAUUCCAUAGAAACCUAAUAGCCUGCCAACAUGGGUGGUUGCUGCUCGCAGGCAUUUUGACAUGGCAAAGGUCCUGUCUGUAUGCUGCAAACCUGUAUCCAUCAAGGGCUGCCUGGAACAGCAUGAAACCAGGAGCUGUGCGGUGUCAGAACGCCGUGUGCAGGAUUGCAGGGGUUUCAGAGCAGACUGGGGCAGAAGUGUUAGAGCUAUUUAGCAUCCCUCUAGGCUAGGAAGAGGCAGAACUUGCUGGAAGUUUGUGCUUACUCAUCAGUCAUUGGAUGUUUGGAGCUUGUGGAGGAGGAGGUUCUCACUGGGCUUUGGCUGGACAUGCCAUGAAGAGCUUUGUCUGAGAGACUUGCAGCCAAGAACACAGAUUUACCUCACCACAGGCUGGUGGAUCACACUUGGACUUCACAAGGAAGAGAGGAGGGGCUGAGGAGGCACUUGGAGAAAUGGCCUGACUAGGUCCCACACAGCUUCUAAGCUGUAGUAUGGCUAUGACAGAGCGAGGGGUGGAGUUGGAUGUGCCAGGCUCUGGGGGAGAGAUGGGCUCUUGGGAAGCAGAGCAGUAGGUCCCUGGCAGAGGAGAAAUGCCACUUGUCUGGCUGGAGGUAUGGCACUCCAUUCAGCUUGUGGAUAACACAGCAGUGCAAGGCAGAAAGCAGAGCUGGCUAAAACUGGCUAAGAUAAUUCUAAGAAGAUUAAAAAUAAUUUUGGCAAUUAAUGGAUAAUUCAUAUUUAUCAGGAUUAUAAGAAAGAAGAAGAAUAGCUUACAGCUGUAGAUUUAAGUGCUUUUUUUACUGUCCUGGCACACUGUAAUUGCAGCAAUGAGAGGCUGAAGGGUCUCCUUGGAUUACACUGCCUGCAAUUCAGGUGAUACUGCAAACACUUCUUUAGUUCUCGUGGAUCUUUAUUGGAAAACUUGGGCCAUAGAUACUUACUGGUGUGCAUAUUGCAUCUCCGUCUUAUGGCCUUCAUGCAGCUUAUUACUAAACAUGGAAGAAAUUAAUUCUCCCUAUAUUUCAUUUCUAUCACAUCUGACAGCUUUGUAGUUUGUGUCUAUGUGUGUGAUAUUUGUGGCCAAGUAUUUUAACAUAAAAAUUCCUUUUGCAAGGCCAGAAAAAUAUUUUUCCUAUACUUCAUCUCCCACUUUUUUCAGCAAUUUUGAUGAUGAAGUAACGUUAAUAGAAUAAAGUUUACACUUUAUCAAACAAAUCUCAGAACUACACUAAAUUAACCUAAUUAAAACAAGAUUCUUGCAUCUUUUCAGCUGCACUUUCUUUAAAAGUAUAUGUACAUCCAAGGCACACCCAAAAAGACCAGACUAUAAAGCCAUCAGAUUCUACAGAGAAUUAUACAAAACUUUGAUAAUUCAUUGCAUUAGUAAAUUAAAGUGCAUCCUGUCAGAAAAUGAAAAAAGGUGUUUCUGUUAUAAGUGCUUAUUUUAUAUAAGAGUUAUCAAAUUACUCAGUUGUCAAAAAAACACCAGAACAAGAUGGGACCUCAAGAAGUUAUCUUCUGAUUCAUACUCGGAGAAGUUACCCUCCUGGUUCAUACUAAGAGAAUCAUUCUCUUCCACACCAACAAACUUUCAUCUAACUGCAUCUUGGGAACCUCCAGUGACAGAGACUACACAGUUUUCCCUCAUCUCUUUAUUCCACUGCUUGCCAUUCCUGCUGUUAGGCAGCUUCUCUGCAGGUCUCAUCUGCAUAUCUCUCUUCAUUCACUUGGAGCUGCUUCUCCUGUUUUUUACCUCCACAGACAUGAAGGAUUAUUUCCUGCUGCUCUGCAAUAGUUUUCUAGGUAUUUGUGACCUCAGCUUGGUCAUAUUUUAUGUAAAACAGCUCUGAUUCAUCCAGUCUUGCACCAUUACCCAUGAUUUCUAGAGCUCUGUCUGCUUGUGCUUCUACCUGGAUGUUCUCCACCAUGACUUCAUCUUUCUUGAAAUGAAUGUCUAAAGCUGAACAGAGUAAUUUUAUGAAAGCCUUGGCCACUCUGGAUAGAGAGAUAGAGAGAGCAUUAAGAGUUUAUUAGUUCUUUUUCAGACAUCCCCAAAUGAGGUUGUGAGAGAAUAAAGGUCCUGAAUUCAGCUAGAGAACUGGUGAAGACUAAAAUCUCAUGUAUUAAGCUGCUACAUGUUUGAAACUGGAAAUCCAGGCAGACCCUUGAUGCAUAUUCUUUAGGUGGCUCAAACACAGCAUGCCAUUGUGUAGUGCUGCUCUUGUUCUUAGCCUCACAUUUCUGAAGGUUAUCCAGCAGGGAAGGGAGGCCGUCCUGGAAGUGAAUUGUAGUAAUGGAGCCUGAGCAUGACCUGUACAGGAAGUGAAGAGGCUGCCAAAUUGCUAUGCCCGUGAGCCCCACUCUCAUUAUCAGCCUAAACGAAUGCACACACCCCGUCACUUUCAUCCUCUUCCAGGUCCAAGAAAAAGAAAAAAGGAGGCAAAAAAACCCAACCAACCUUCCACACAAAGAGGUGUCUCUGAAGUCUGGAAUGCACCCUGGCUGUUUGAAGACAAGAUUUAUACCUGACACCCUCCUUUAAGCUCAUUGUUGAGACUCGCCUGCGUUCAAAUCAACCGCAGACUGGCUGCUGCAGGUACCUCAUCUUACAACAACCACAUCAUCCAAGAUAAAUGCACCAGGAAUUGCUAUCACUUUGAGGUGAAAAAAAAUAAAUGGGUGGGGGGGAGCAGAAAUCAAACCUCUGAUGCAGGUAGUGGGUGGAGGAAAAGACAGAUGGGCAUGAAGGAGUGUGUAAGGGUGUGACCAGGGAAGAAGCCAGCGACAGCCGCCAGCCUGCGGCGUGGGGUGCAAGGAUGAAAUGGCUCUGGCUGCCUGUGUGGGCACCUGUGUUUUGGCCCAGCCUCUCCUUGCCUUUGGCAGCCAGGCUGUGGGACCAGGCAUUGGGUGGGAUCCCUAAGCCACCCCAGUGCCAGGGAAGCGGUAACCACUCGCGUGCUUGUGAAGGACUGGAAGGAGCUUUUUGACUUGCUGGGAGACAAUGAGAAGGACUGUUGCCAUCGAUUCAUGUCAUUCCCAUGUCAGGCAGGCCUGACUUCAUUUUAGGAUCCUGUCCCUAAGUAAGCUGUGGUUAGCUACUUUAAUUCAGCUUCUUAAAUUUCUCUGGAGGAAAACCCUUGAUAGUAAGGACUUAAUUUUACACUGAAUCUGUCUGGUGGGAGGCAAAGCCAUAGGGCACUGAGAUAGGUGAAGCAAACAAUAGGAGAGACAGAAGAGUGUGCUCAGAAUAGUGUCAGGAUGUAGAGAAAUACAGCUGAACCUCCUAGAGCUCAGGCUGCUGAAACUCUAGGAUUGGCAGGAGUUGAGCUAGCUGUUGAAGGCUUUGAAGCAAUGCAGGCAGAGGACGUCUGUCAUAAUGAGAGAAUAACACCUGGCAAUUGGCAGAGAUACUUAUUGCCUAUAUCAUACUAUUGCUCAAAGGCCCAAUAAAAGUUGGGGUAUAAGGAUGCAAUUUGCGGUGUAGAACCAGCUAAGGAGCAUUUUCCAGGGUGAAGAAUUACCAUGGCAUUUGGAAUAAUGCCCCAUUAAUCCAGGGCAUUCAAAAAUGGUUUUGAGAAGAUAUUCUGAAAUUAAACUGAUAGAGAAAAGACGGCAGAAAAGAUGACAGCAUAGGUAGUUAAUGCAAAACUUUAAAGUUAGAAAAACCUGCCCAUCUGAAGCAUUUCAUAAUGCCUAUCUUGGAUCCAGAGAUCAGAAAGCAAUACGGGAUUAGCAAAAAACUAAGGUUCCUACACAGGUUUGACCUGCUGUUGGGCAGGACCCAUCAACAUGUUCUGGAUUUAACCCAACAGAAAGAUCUUUGUUUGGUUUUCUGGUUCUCCUUUGUCAAGCAGUUAAGUCUCAGGGCUUUACAGGGCUUCUUCCAAAACUUAUGGGCUGACAGGGAUGUUUGAGAUCUGGGAAAAAGGAGCUGGUUUAAUUCAUUUCAGUUAUAGAAAACUUUCUAUAUUUAGGAUUUUAAAUUAUGUUUCAUUAAGAAUGCAAAUUAUGAGCAUUUCUAGGACUCCGGGUACGUGCAUGUCCCAGCUAGCACACAAGCCUCAUGCCACUACAAAUCUGAAUAAGGCAGGUUAAGUUUGCAGCAGAAUUAAAAUAGUGCAAAAGCAAGGGCAGGAAGAGAGCUUGAACAACACAUUCAACUGUUGUCGACUUGGGUGGGAGGAGAAACAUCUACACUAGCACUGAAUUGACACAACUGCAUAUGAAGCUGCAGCAUCAAUCUCAGCUUGGCCACAGCAAAAGAUUCUCAGAGAAAUCGGUUUCAUCAACCCAUGACCAAUGUAUUUAAGAAUGGAGCAUGGCUCCACUGCAGCAAUCAGGGGAAAUGUUGCAGACACUUAGCCUGGAGCCUCCAUAAUUUGUGACACCAAGCUUCUGAGGAAAUAGCAUUCAGUAUUUCAUUCUGACAUUUCAGCUCUUGACAGCGCUACAGAAUGCUGCUUGAACCUAAAGUCAAAUGCAAUAAACUGUGCACAUCUUUGCCCAAAAAACCCCCAAAACAACUCCAACAAAACAAAAAAACAAACAACAACAACAGCAACAACAAAAAAAACACAAAAAAACCAACAAAAAAACCUAAAAAAUCCAAACCAAAACCAUGAGCAAGGCUAGUUCACAUUGCCAUCACAGGGAGCCACAGGAGUGGGAAACAGAAAUACAUGGCUCUAAGCAGCUGCUUCACUGCUGACUGCCUAUUAAAAAUAACAGAAUUUUCAAGAAACAGUUACAGGCACUAUCAUAGCCUUCUGGCCUAAACACAAAAUCAUAAAACCAUUUAGAUGGAAAAAGAACUUUAAGAUCAUCAAGUCCAACUAUGAACCCAGCAUUGCCAAGUCCACAACCAUGUAGAUUCGUUGCAUUCUUCCUUCCCAGAAGGAUCUUCAGCUUCUCCCAAAACAAGUUGUAACAAAGAGUGAUAAAAGACAUCAGAAGAUGCAAAUAUGAAUAUGGAUGACAAACUUGUACAUUAACUGAGAUUGUUCACACAAUUGUUUGUGAUUAACUACUUGGCCAGGGUAUAAAUGUAUUUUGUAUUUGUACACAAUGUGCAUCUGUUGCUGGUGUUGAACAGCUCCUACUGCAAUAAUAUGCUAAAAAGGUUCCAGGAAACUUCUGUAUACUGGUAACCACUGGAACUUUUAAAAUUUCUUCUGAGCCAAUGAAAAAUGGGAAUACUUAUUUAUAUGUUAUAUGUACAUAUAUGUAUGCAGGGCUACAUGGUAGAUCCACGGACAUGUUUUAGGCUCAAGAUAGAUUUCUGCAGCCUAUGAAAUUUUGUUUGUACUUUUUCCAUCCUUUGUGUUUCUGAUCUAAUAAUUUUACAGUUCUGAAAAUGUAACUUCAAAGUUUGGUGCUCGUUAUGUUAUUAAAGAAUGGGAGCACCAGCAAUGAAUUAGACAGCAAAUACCCUGGAUUCACCAGCAACUCCUUCUCCACCCCCAGAGAGAUGCAAUCUUUCUCCUUGUACUCCAAGCAUUUGCUGGUUUUGUCCUCAUUUGGUCCUUGGCCUCUUUAUUAACUCUGUUUUCCCUUACCACACAUGCUUUGUGGGGCCAAUGACUCCUUUUUAAUGCUGUGUGGCUCCUCUGGCUGCUAUUCCCCACUCCACUGUAGCUUGAGCAGCACCUCAGUGGAAACAGCAGCUAUCCCUUCCCCCUGCCAGCACCCUGUGCUGUUCCCACAAUCACUGCUCAUGUCCCUGCUGCUCUUCACACUCUUGAAAGCCCAAACAGGAAUUGAGCAUCCUCUCCUACAACCCUCAUGUUUGCUUCAACCCUGACCCUCUGUUCUACCUGCUCUCUUCAUGCACCUGUUCUCCACAGCCAUUCAACUCCCCAUGGAAAGAAGGGGCUGGACAGAAAUCCCAGGAAACUCACUCUCACCUGCUUGGUGCCUAUUGCUAGCAGGGCAAUGUGGCACCAUGUGUCACCAGCCUCUGCCUGCAAAGGGGUGGGCAAUGCAAGAUCAUCUUGCAAAUUGAAAUACAGCAGCAGGCAUGUUUAUGACUUGAGAGGGCUGUGAGGAGAGCCUCUUCUUGCCUCCUGGCAUACCUGUUUCUCUCCAAGAGUUGAGCACAACCUGCCUGAUUCAGAGUCCCUUGGAGUCCCCUAGGCCCUGGUCUGGGGCAGCUCUGAGGAGAUGGCUUAGUCUGACUAAAUAUGUGCUCUGUGUAAGCAGUGGAAAAGUCAUAUUUCUAGUGGUAGCAAUGUAUUCUAUAGCAAAAGCCUGUAAUAGAAAAUUAUUUAUUUCCAUGACUAUUUGCUUGAAAUGAAAAAAAAAAAGGUUAUAGAAACAUAAUUCUAGAAGAUAAAA